UGGGGAAUAUUGCACAAUGGGCGAAAGCCUGAUGCAGCAACGCCGCGUGAGUGAUGAAGGUCUUCGGAUUGUAAAGCUCUGUCUUUUGGGACGAUAAUGACGGUACCAAAGGAGGAAGCCACGGCUAACUACGUGCCAGCAGCCGCGGUAAUACGUAGGUGGCGAGCGUUGUCCGGAUUUACUGGGCGUAAAGGGUGCGUAGGCGGAUGUUUAAGUGAGAUGUGAAAUACCCGGGCUUAACUUGGGUGCUGCAUUUCAAACUGGAUAUCUAGAGUGCAGGAGAGGAGAAUGGAAUUCCUAGUGUAGCGGUGAAAUGCGUAGAGAUUAGGAAGAACACCAGUGGCGAAGGCGAUUCUCUGGACUGUAACUGACGCUGAGGCACGAAAGCGUGGGUAGCAAACAGGAUUAGAUACCCUGGUAGUCCACGCCGUAAACGAUGAGUACUAGGUGUAGGAGGUAUCGACCCCCUCUGUGCCGCAGUAAACACAUUAAGUACUCCGCCUGGGAAGUACGAUCGCAAGAUUAAAACUCUAAGUGAAUUGAC
Molecule: ribosomal RNA, 544 nt
Filed under: uncultured bacterium
Lineage: Bacteria
Description: partial 16S ribosomal RNA
Rfam family: Bacterial small subunit ribosomal RNA
Source: RNAcentral